GCUAGUAUAGCUUAAUUAAAGUAUAACUCUGAAGUUGUUAAGAUGAACACGAAAAAGGUUCUACAAGCA
Molecule: transfer RNA, 69 nt
Filed under: Nematobrycon palmeri (emperor tetra)
Lineage: Eukaryota; Metazoa; Chordata; Actinopteri; Characiformes; Acestrorhamphidae
Also listed under: 1 other name
Description: tRNA-Phe
Source: RNAcentral